Esox lucius (northern pike) is the source of this 134-nucleotide small nucleolar RNA. Ensembl annotates it as small nucleolar RNA SNORA49. Lineage: Eukaryota; Metazoa; Chordata; Actinopteri; Esociformes; Esocidae. The record is from Ensembl.
CUUCCCUUUCCUUACUCCAGCUACUCUGUCCUCAGUGGAGUUGUCUGGCAUUGACAGGGGAUACAGCACUUUGGCUCUCUCGCCUCUCAGUUAGGAUCUUCUUCUUACACGUGGCUUGUGAGAGAGUUAACAAU